Molecule: long non-coding RNA, 4039 nt
Organism: Syzygium oleosum
Lineage: Eukaryota; Viridiplantae; Streptophyta; Magnoliopsida; Myrtales; Myrtaceae
Exons: 2
Source: RefSeq, a predicted model, not a curated record
UUGACACCCCUACUUUGAAUUACGGAAUUUUUCAAUACGUGGAUAGGAGCCGGAAGUUCCUCGCUGAAUGAACGAGUAUUGUGCAGGAGAAUAGGAAGACGUAAGCGGCCGGUUGGACGUGGCAAAUUGAUCUGUGAUGGGGACGUUCAACAGACCGCCACGGUUCAACUCCAAAAGCCUCUCGCAUCAAACGCCAUAAUUUGGCCGGACCCAAGGCUUCUCCUCCGAUCGCCUCCGUCGUCUGCUGUUCAGUUUCAGCAAGCUUUCGGACUACAGGAAGGGAAGCGAAAUGAGUGAUCCCUGCCAGUUUCCUGAGCUAGAGCUUCCUUGCUCAGCUAUGGCCUCGGCUGCGGAUGUGGCUUCUGCUCUGCCUCAGGCUCCGUCGGAUUCUUCACGUAACUCUCUUUCUCUCUCUCUCUCUCUGAAAAAUACGUGCUUUGCUUGAAAAGACGCUUGUGGAAUUCGGGGGAGCAAAUGUCAAGUUUCGGUCUAGAGAAAUGCAUUGUUAGUGCGCUGGAUAAAUGCUGCGAAAUCUGUUCGGUUGAAUAACACGAGAUGAGAAAGUUUUGACGGAAAAGAAAAUGCUAAAUAAAUACUAGCUUCCUUAGAUGACUGGUUUUAUUCCGAGUCCACAUCGGUCCAUAAUGAAGAUUGAUUAGCUUCUGCAUUUCCUUUAGUGGGUUCUGAUCAGGUUAUGUGAGAAGUUGGCGUUGAAAAAUUGAUUGGCCAAGUUCUUUAGGCAACGGUGCUUACAAGUUGGCUUGCCUCUAUUCUGGAAUCUCAAAUGCGGUUGAGGUAUAUGUUUAAGACCGGGUAUCUAAGUUGACUAUGACAUUAGCAGGAACAAGGGGGAGUGCACUUCUCAGUUUUUUCUGAUAAUAGCUGUUGGUUGAAGGUGCGGAGUUUUUUUUGGUAAAUAUUUUUAAAUUACCAUUCCAACAACAGACAAGAUAAAAUGAGUUUUAUUAUGGAGAUGAAUUUGAGACUGCAUACGGUUACUACAGUUCCUCAGUUCAUCCCCCAUUCAUUCCACACAUGCUAUGAUUCUUUUUUCCCAUGAUCUGAAAUAAAUAGCUUAAAGUGCGGCACAAGCAUUGUUUUUCAAUUUGGCAGUUACCCAUUUCGUUCUUUCAGUGGUGGCCAUCAGAAGGACAAUCUCAAUCAUGAAUGAGACCUAUUUCCUAAAAAUAAGAACCAAUUGUAGUCUUGAGUAUAGUUUAAGUCACAUGUCGGAUAAUGAAUAAGGAAAAUGUGGACCAUUAUGGGCUCUGAGGCUACUCGGAGUGAAUUAACUACGCACUUUGUACCCAAUGAUCGAAAUUGAUGACCCGACUUUGGUCAAGUGAAAACAUAGAGCAACUUGUGGCCUCGACCAUGAAUGGGACGUAUUUCCUAAAAAUAAGAACCAAUUAUAGUCUCUAGUAUAGUUUAAGUCACAUGUUCGACAAUGAAUAAGAGAAAUGUGGACCAUUAUUGGCUUUGAGGCUACUCGGAGUGAAUUAACUACGCACUUUGUACCCAAUGAUCGGAAUUGAUGACCCGACUUUGGUCAGGUGAAAACAUAGAGCAACUUGUGGCCUCGACCAUGAAUGGGACGUAUUUCCUAAAAAUAAGAACCGAUUGUAGUCUUUAGCAUAGUUUAAGUCACAUGUCCGACAAUGAAUAAGGGAAAUGUGGACCAUUAUUGGCUUUGAGGCUACUCGGAGUGAAUUAACUACGCACUUUGUACCCAAUGAUCGGAAUUGAUGACCCGACUUUGGUCAAGUGAAAACAUAGAGCAACUUGUUGCCUCGACCAUGAAUGGGACGUAUUUCCUAAAAAUAAAAACCGAUUGUAGUCUCUAGCAUAGUUUAAUCAUCGUUGGUUUUUUAUUAUCUCUAUGCUUCAACUUAUAAUAAUCUGAACAUUUGAAAUUAGUCUCUGUUAUAAAUCAUUUUGUGUGUUUGAGUACGUCGCAGAGUUGAUUUCAUGGUAAAGACCUCUCGUCCUAUUCUCGGUCACUUUUAGAGUAAAAUCUAAACCUGUGCGACAUGGAAUGGAUGUUGUGCUUGAAAAUUUUCACAAAUAUAUGUUCGAAAGUAGGUUCCCCAUCACUAUAGCAAACUUUCUCAUUCAUUCGUUGUAUUCUCUGUGAUACGGUGACCAUGGAUGUUGAUGAUUGGAGUCGAUAUGUUAAUUGCUUUGUUCUGUUGAUGGUCAGAGGUGAUGGAUGGCGUUGUAAAAUGUAUAUACGUUGGCCUCUGCUUAAGAAUUUGUGUAGAGGAUUGUGCAUAACAAGUCCAUACAUGCUGAUCUCGAGCAGAUUCUAAAUGCUUUUACGCUGUUUGUUUUAUCGUGAAACGUUUAGCUAUAUUGGUUUUCAAGGAACAUGUUUUGUAAUUGGGAGGAUUCUGUUUGGAAUGGUUCGAUAGAUUCUGGAUAAGUAACAUUGUAUAUUUGUCGCUUGAAUAGAGAUGGAUAAAGAUUUGGCCGACAAUUAGAAGAAUAAAAGGGAAGUUAGAGUGUAUUGGAAAUGAGAAUGAAGGAGUCUUGUCGAAAUGUAUUGUGUCUUGUCAAUAAAUGCUGGAAUCUUGCUGCGAUUUGUUAAAAACAUGCUGGAAUUGAACCGAAUGCAUGCUCACCGUGAUUGUAUUUCUCAGCCUAGUGAAAUUCUCGUUCUAUUUGUCUUUAGUUUGAUGACACAAGUUCAUAUAAGUACUGGUGGAGACAGUACAUCAAUUUAAUGUCAAUUCUUUACAAAAUAAUUGGAAAUUUUGAUCUCGACUAAUCUGUAAUAAUUCUGAAUGUUGCUGCACGGCACUAAUUGGAUAUGAUUUUUGUAGAUUCAAACUUGGCUUUGCUCUGGCAUGAUGCAAAUGAGUUUGUCUAGCGUGUUGAUUGUUUGAGCUGACUGCUAGCUUAUUCCAUUAUCGGCUGUGACCUUCUCUCACUUAGAGCUAGCUUGAUUUUCGUCCUUUCAUGAUGUGUGCUCACCACCUGUUUGCUGAUAUGCCUCUUAGACAUAGCUAUGAAAUAUAUCAUGAUUUUUAGUCAAUUUGGGGAUGGGUUGAUGUAAGCAAUUGGUUUGCUAGCAUUCGAAUUUGAUUCUAUGUUACACUUAAAUGUUAUUGAGACCAAAUUUGACGCUAUUCUUCCAUUUCUUUGUCUAUGUAUAUCUCGGUGAUUUGCCAUGGCAAACGGCGUUGAGCAUGUGGUCUGGAUUUAUCUUUCUCAACUUUUAUUUCUGGAGGAGGCCAAUCCCUCAAGGUGGGCUGUCGGAGGAGACCCAAGCGGUGGAAGAUGCGGUGAGGCAGUUGAGCGGUCCGAAUUCGUGCAAUAAGGAAGGUAUUGAACAUCGCGAGUUUGGAGAUACUAAACACCACCCGGGGGUGGAGCUUGACCGUGUAGAGGCCGUUGGAUGACACCAUUGAAGCUUGGUUUUCAAAUCGCCUUUCAAAGGAAAAAAAAAAUCUCUCCAAACGAAAUGGUGACUGUUCCCCCUUCAUGUAUCCAAAUCUGAAGUCAGUUGCCUUGAGUUUUUACAAUUAAUAUUUGGUUAAAAUUUUGAUUUGGUUGAAAAAUUCGAAAAGGAUUUUGUUUACUAGGCGAGAGAGAGAGAGAGAGGGAGAGGGAGAGAGAUUUUGGGGUAAAUUUUGGGGUAAGCAACGGCUAUUGAGAGAGGUCCAAGUCGACUACGUUCACGGUCUCUAGAAAAUUGUAACUUGGGUAGCCAAAAUAGGAAAAUUUGAUAGAAUGCUUGAUCUUUGUACCCAAUUUCUUGCUUACGUAAUGAAAUGCGACAUGUUUGAUAUUUUGAAUCCGAUUUUCUUUGAUCAUACUAAUCUUUUUCCAGUCCACAGACCCUUUUAGUGUAUUGCAAAUUUAUGUAGGAUUGGGCUCAAAGGAAGAGUUGGACUGCCGUAUCAAGAUAGCUACCUUUACUAGAAAAAUAACAGACCCAAAAGAAUAGAUGAUUUUCCAUUCAAAUGCUCAGGGAUACAGAGUCGUUGACAACAGUUUGACUAUUUGUCCUUAUCCUGUUGCUAAAAUUUACGUUGUA